GACAAGGAACAGGAAAUUGUUCCACUGCAAAGAAGCACAUGACAAAGAACAUGGAUGGCUCUGAUCUGGGGGAAACCACAGGUAAAUGAGGCUUACUUCUGAGCCACUGGCCCCGAGGACAGUAGUGAGUGUGAUCUCAAAGAAGAACAAGGGGAGGGGUUCUGAGGAGCAACAGUCUCCUCCCCACAAGACCCCCAGCUGAUCCAGCAGGGCUUGGAUGGUCACUGGGAGCUGUACUGCACUCCUCCUGGAACCACACCACAGGUUCUUCUGGAUGCCAUUACAACAAAUAGAGUAUGUGUACCUGGUAUCUCUCGGCAGAGCCUGCUGGCUCCACGUUACAGAGCUGAGCACAGAUGGAGUCCUUGGGUUUCAGAGGGUUGGCCACUGGUGAGAUCAGCCCCUCCCUCAGCAACCUCUCUCCACCAUGGACCAGCUCCCACACCUGGGGGGCCCUGCGGCAGACACACACACAGUCAAUGUAGAUGUAUACUACAGUAUACUACAAUGAUACCAUCUCACUUGUGUACACACAUACACAAGCAAACAACAGUGGAUACAUAAUAACACAUUUGUAUACAACAUAAACACAGAUAGAGAAAUGAAACAUACUUCAUGUGCUUGACACAGUUAGACACACACUGUUUUAGAGGCCACUCCAAAAUGUGCAGUUUUGUCACACUACACAAUGCCACAGUUGUCUCAAGUUUUGAG
Long non-coding RNA from Oncorhynchus tshawytscha (Chinook salmon), 714 nucleotides. The record is from Ensembl. Lineage: Eukaryota; Metazoa; Chordata; Actinopteri; Salmoniformes; Salmonidae.